Molecule: long non-coding RNA, 1375 nt
Filed under: Mustela putorius furo (domestic ferret)
Lineage: Eukaryota; Metazoa; Chordata; Mammalia; Carnivora; Mustelidae
Description: lncRNA (ENSMPUG00000025597.1)
Source: RNAcentral
CUAGAGUUGAAGAUUAUGUUUCCUCUCUUACCUCAAAACCUAACUUGUUUUCUGCAUAUACUGUGUCUAAUCUAGUUUCCUCUUGCUGCCCUCCCAAGGAGUGCACAUAAAGAGCCAGCUACAAAUUGGGCAUAAGUGUGGGUUUGGUGCUAAGGGUUUUGGGGGUGCCUAGGCACCAGUUGGGGUGGUUCCUCAGGUGAAGUUUUCCCAGCAGCUCUUGGCCAGACUUCCUACUGGAGUCUAGAAAGCAGUUAGUAGGACCGGGUUUCUUGUCUUUUUUUUUUUUCUUUUCUCUAGGAACCGGAACUACUUCUUUUUUUUUUUUUUUUAAAGAUUUUAUUUAUUUAUUUAUUGGACAGACAGAUCACAAGGAGGCAGAGAGGCAGGCGGAGAGUGAGAGGGGAAUAGGCUCCUUGCUGAGCAGAGAGCCCCAUGCGGGGCUGGAUUCCAGGACCCUGAGAUCAUGACCUGAGCCACCCAGGCGCCCCUAGAAACGGGAACUUCCAUAAAGACUCUUGUGUCUGGCACAUGGUUUUUAGUCACGCUGCUACAAAGAAAGAAGUAGACCAGAAGAAGUGGUGGGCUGCAAAGCACGAUUUAUGCAAAGCUCCCAGAAGAGGGAGGUGAUCCAACCAGAGUGUCUUAAGUCUAGGGGGUUUUUACAGGCUUGUAGGCGACCAUUCUAAUAUGAUUACUCCUCCAUGCGCCUGUCAUCCAAUCAGGUUUUUGUCCACGUGCUCAUCUACCAAUCAAGUAGUUGUUCACGUGGAAAGCGUGGAGCGCUUCUUCCAGGCUGGUGAAAGAUCCUUUCAGGGGUGAUCUUCCUUUUCUUCUUUUUCUUUUUUCUUCUUUUUGUGAGAAAUGGUUUUCAGACAAAAUCUAAAUACGAAGACAGUUGUAAAAGUGCUGACAUUAUCAAUUCCAGCCCUUGAUGUGACUGUGGCAAAGUCUAAGGCAUUUUGGCUGCUUCCAAAUUUUCACACUUAUGAAUAUAGCUACUCCAAACAGGCUUGGGCAGGCUUCUCAAUGUCCCAGGACCUCAGUUUUUAAAUCAACUAAUUUGUGUAAAUGCCAAGGAGCAACAUUGCUGGACCAUAGGGUUGUGUUCCAGCCAUCUUAAAUAUCAGGAGGUUUCUCAGUUACAUUCCAUGUUCUCUUCUCUUUGGGCAUAGAUGAACACAGUUCCCUUCAACUGGAGCCCUUCUGCCAUUUCAGCCCCACUGUUUUGUUCAGCUAACACAUCAUCAUGACUGUAAGAACUAAUUUUUCUGUUUCUUUUUCUCAUAGUGAGGAGCUGUUUCAGGAAUAGAAACUGAGAUUUUAUGAGUGUAUGAGGAGUAUAAUUUAUAAAUGUCAGAGGAGUCAGGGGAAUCAA